This 3605-nucleotide long non-coding RNA is filed under the name Malus domestica (apple). Its description in RNAcentral is "long non-coding RNA (MDOM_LNC019744)". The record is from RNAcentral. Lineage: Eukaryota; Viridiplantae; Streptophyta; Magnoliopsida; Rosales; Rosaceae.
UAACCCAAAUCCACAAGGAAAUAGGUUAAAACAAUCAGAAAUCCUAAGGGAUAAGGGAAUAAGGGUGCGGCAAAGGUCAAGGGGGGAUAAGGCUUCUAGAAAGCCUUGCAAGGCAAGGGAUUAGGGCAUCUAGAAGGCUAGGGUGCGGCACCAAUGUAGGGAUUAGGGGUUAGGGCUUCUAGAAAGCCCCAAAACUGAUAGGAAAUGUAGGAAACUCACGGCAAGGAGGGAAACACUCUAGAAACUUCUCAUUUGUGUCCUACAAUACUUAGGAGUCCUUCUAGCAUUAGGAAAACAUGUCUCAAUCCUCCCUUGACUUGGAAUUCUUCUCCUUCUUCAUCUUGGAAACCUUUCCUUCUUGGACUUGGAAAUCUUUUCCUUGUAGCUGCAACUUGAUGCCAUUUGGGGUUUACAUUUCCUACUCCAAGUAGGAAACCUUGUUCAAGUAGGGAAUUCAAUCUUCUAGGUUUCCCAAUUCAACUAGGAAACCUAAUUCACUAGGAAUCAUCAUCUUCAAGUCUUCAAUUUCGUCCAUCCUCAUGGCUCCAAGCAUAUGAUCUUCAUUCCAAGCUCUAAUUUGCUCCAAAAGGCUCCAAAAUGCUUCCAUUUGCAUACUUUGCCCUUAAAACCUGAAAACACAUAAAACUAGCUUAAAACACUACUUUACUAAGGAAAAACACUAUAAAUGCACAAGAACAAGCUAAACUAAGGCACAUGAAUAUGCUCCUAUCAUAGGGGUUUGACAUAAUAUAUCCAUACCCUAGUGAUGUGAUUGAGAGUAUUGUUUUAGAGAAGGCUCGAAUUACAUUGUAAUUCCAACUGAAUAGGUUCUCCGAACAACUUCUACAUUAGCUUGGGUAGCCAUGAUAUAUGGUUAGAUGUCACUCAUGGCUUGUGAGUUCUUCUAGAUGAUUAAAUGUAGUAGUCAAAGAAGAAGGUGAAUUAAAAGUAAGUUUUAAUUCACUAAGUGAUUGGAUUAAAUAUUAUCAAUUGGAUUGGUGCCAAUCACCUCAUUGCCUUGCUAAUUAGAACCUAAAACGAUUGUUCACCAAUACACUCUUGUAGUGAGUAACUAAUGGAUGAUGGAAAUAAUUAAUUGGAUUAAUUAGAAUGUCUAAAGAAAUCAUAAAAGCGAUAUAAGAUCGUUUUGGGCUUAAAGAAACGUUCGGGUUUAAUUGGGCCCAUUGGGCCUAAACCCAUUGGGCUUUUAUUCAAGCAUUGGAUGACUUGAAAUAAAUAAAAGCCCAAAGCCCAAACAACACAAAGGGGGCCGGCCAAAGGAGGGAGAGAAAGGUCAAAUGUUGACUUGUUUCUUUUUGGCUAUAAAAGGAACUUUAUAGCAAAUGUUUCAUUAGGGGUUUUUUUUGAAGUGUCAAAAAGAACAAAAGAGAAAAAGAAAAAUAUCUCUCUAACACUCAAAGGGCCGGCCACCAUAGGGGGAUUUUAGCUAAUCAUCUUUUCACCCCUUUGGUUAUUCCUUCAUCCUUCUCACUACACUAGUGGGUGAGGAUCUUUAGAGGUUUUCAAUUUUGGAAACUUGAAGAGAACCUAGGAGCACUCAUACUAAACAAAGUGGAGGAGGCAAGGAAGGAGGCUAGGCUCAAGGAGUUCAAGGAGCAAAGGGCUUGGAGGUGGUCCAUCCUUGGUCUAAGAUCUAGAUCAAGAGGUAUAAAACUACUCCUAAACUUUGUUCUUAAAUAAAUUUGUUUUUGAUGCAUCUUACAUAAACCUAUGCAUCUUGAAGGGGAUUUACAUGACUAGAGCUUUGAUAUUAUUUGAUAACAUGCUUCCGUUGCUUUCGUAUAUAAAUUUUGAAUUGUAUAUGCAUGCUAGUCACUAGAAAUCCCACAUGAAAUCUCAUAAUUUCCCUUCAAUGGUGUCACCGGUUCUCGCAUCUAAGUAGUAGCAUUCCAUUCAUGAGAUCAUAUCUAAAUGCUUAUUUAACUCCAGAAAUUGCUUCCUUUGUUAUACAUUUAUGUGAGCGUUCGUUUUUAUGUCUACAUCAAUCUUCUCACGUAUAACUAGUAUAGGGUGUGUAGUUAGAAAAUCUGAGUGAAAAUUGAGUGCAUAUCUUGUAAGGAAUUGAGCAAAUUCUCUAAGGCAUGUUACUGCAUUCAAAACAUAGUUUUAAUUGGUUAAAUGUGAACUAGUAAGUCGUGACUAUGAUUAAGUAUGUGCUUAAGUGUGAAGAUGACUAAAAUCUGUGGGAAUGGUGAUUUUUAAUAUGUCAUGUGCAUUGGAAAUCCCUGAGGCAAACGUUGGAAGGGUUAGGUUUUGUUUGUUUGUUUUGUUUCAUUUUGUUUAUCUUUUGUUUCUUUGUUUGCUCGAGGACUAGCAAAAGCUAAGUGUGGGGGAAUUUGAUAGGAGCAUAUUUAUGCGCCUUAGUUAGCUAGUUCUUGUGCAUUUUUGUUGUGUUUUUUAGUUAGUCUUUUAAGCCAUUUUCAUGUGUUUUCAGGUUUUAAGGACAAAGUGUGCAAAGAGAUGCAAUUUGGAGCAUUUUGGAGCAAAAUUGUGCUAGAAUGGAGUUCAUGCAUGUGGAGCACAAAGAAUGGACGAAUUUGAAGGAUUGAAGAGGCUAGGAAUGUGUUUCAAAGUUGAAGAAAUAAAGACUUGAAGAUGUGAGGAUUCCUAGUUGAAGAUGGAUUCCUAGAAGAAUGAGAUUCCUACUCAAACAAGGUUUCCUACUUGAAGUAGGAAAGUUAAACCUAAGUGGCCUUAAGUUCCAGCAACAAAUAAGUAAUCCAAGUCAAAGAAGGAAAAGGAAUCCGAAAAGAAGAAGGAUUGACCAAACAAGCUUUCCUAAUCCUAAGGCAUAAAGAUUUCAGCUACAAAAGAGAUUUCUUUUCCUAUUCGGAGACUUAAAACCUGAUUUCUAGAAGCCUUAUCCCUUCCUACAAAGGUGCCACACCUUAUCCCUUGUUUUUCUAGAAAUCAGCCACAAAACAACCUUUCUAGAAGGCCUUCUCCCUUGUCCUACAAAAGUGACGCCCCAAACCUUUCUAGAACUUCUAGAAACCUGAUUAUUCCUUUCCCCCUUGGUUUCUAAAAGCCUUAGCCAUUUCCUUCAAGGAUUAUGUGUUAUUAUCCUAUACAAAAUUAGGCCUUUUAAAUCCUUCUCCUUUGCUACAUAGGGGCUGCGAAUUUCAGCCUAUAAAUACCAUCCUUUGCUGCACCAUUUAGUCACCAUCCUCUACCAUAUUUUUCUACAUUCAUACAUCCCUUAAACACACUCAUCCCUCUAGUGCCGUAGAUUGCAAGGAAGGAGAAAUAAGGAACAACCUGGUGCCGUGCUUAUGCCCAAGCCUUGGGAGUGUUGGAGCGUUUCUAGGUGUUUUCUAUCUUUGAUUUUCAAUGUCUUAAAUUUAUUUAUCUUUGCUUUGUGAGUAUGAGAACUUAAAACCCCCCUUGGCUAGGGGGGAUUCGAAACCAUGUUUAUGCUUGCUAUAUGAUUUGAUUACUUCUAAUUGCGUUUCAUAAGUUGUGAAUUCAAUUUACUUAUCUACAUGAAUUAAAACUAAUUUGUGUAUGUUGGUUGAGAGUGCACGCGCUUAAUUUUCAUGCAUAAGUUUGAUGCUAGGAUAUAAGGGAGUUUCACCUAAUCGUUA